CUUGAUGAUCCAAAUCUCCAUAAUGAUUUCGAUUUCGAUUACGAAUCAAAUGCUUCAAAAGAUAUGGUCAUUCUGAUCUUCAUUAUAAUUUAUUUCGAUUCUGAUUGUAAAUCAAACAUAUCUUCCUCAUAUUAAGAACUAAGAGGAUGAUCGAUUGCAACUAGAAUUGUAAUCAUAAUGAAUUCGAAUGGAGUAUUGGAGUCGCCAUAUUUUUCGAAGCAUUCGGC
Molecule: long non-coding RNA, 227 nt
Filed under: Elaeis guineensis (African oil palm)
Lineage: Eukaryota; Viridiplantae; Streptophyta; Magnoliopsida; Arecales; Arecaceae
Description: long non-coding RNA (EGUI_LNC000382)
Source: RNAcentral